RNAcentral lists this ribosomal RNA (247 nucleotides) under uncultured bacterium. Its description in RNAcentral is "partial small subunit ribosomal RNA". It matches the Rfam family "Bacterial small subunit ribosomal RNA", at positions 26 to 286 of the family's 1533-position model. The record is from RNAcentral.
AGAAUCAACGCUGGCGGCGUGCCUAACACAUGCAAGUCGCACGAGAAAGGGGAGCAAUCCCUGGAGUAAAGUGGCGCACGGGUGAGUAACACGUGAAUAAUCUACCUCCGAGUGGGGAAUAACUGAGAGAAAUCUUAGCUAAUACCGCAUAACACUUACGAGUCAAAGCAGCAAUGCGCUUGGAGAGGAGUUCGCGGCCGAUUAGUUAGUUGGCGGGGUAAUGGCCCACCAAGACGAUGAUCGGGUA